Molecule: ribosomal RNA, 559 nt
Filed under: Microbacterium sp.
Lineage: Bacteria; Bacillati; Actinomycetota; Actinomycetes; Micrococcales; Microbacteriaceae
Description: bacterial SSU rRNA
Rfam family: Bacterial small subunit ribosomal RNA
Source: RNAcentral
GUCGACGGGUAGCCGGCCUGAGAGGGUGACCGGCCACACUGGGACUGAGACACGGCCCAGACUCCUACGGGAGGCAGCAGUGGGGAAUAUUGCACAAUGGGCGGAAGCCUGAUGCAGCAACGCCGCGUGAGGGAUGACGGCCUUCGGGUUGUAAACCUCUUUUAGCAGGGAAGAAGCGAGAGUGACGGUACCUGCAGAAAAAGCACCGGCUAACUACGUGCCAGCAGCCGCGGUAAUACGUAGGGUGCAAGCGUUAUCCGGAAUUAUUGGGCGUAAAGAGCUCGUAGGCGGUCUGUCGCGUCUGCUGUGAAAUCCCGAGGCUCAACCUCGGGCUUGCAGUGGGUACGGGCAGACUAGAGUGCGGUAGGGGAGAUUGGAAUUCCUGGUGUAGCGGUGGAAUGCGCAGAUAUCAGGAGGAACACCCAUGGCGAAGGCAGAUCUCUGGGCCGUAACUGACGCUGAGGAGCGAAAGGGUGGGGAGCAAACAGGCUUAGAUACCCUGGUAGUCCACCCCGUAAACGUUGGGAACUAGUUGUGGGNUCCUUUCCACGGAUCCCGU